This 65-nucleotide transfer RNA is filed under the name Heterocephalus glaber (naked mole-rat). It matches the Rfam family "tRNA". From Rfam's summary of the family: Transfer RNA (tRNA) molecules are approximately 80 nucleotides in length. Their secondary structure includes four short double-helical elements and three loops (D, anti-codon, and T loops). Further hydrogen bonds mediate the characteristic L-shaped molecular structure. tRNAs have two regions of fundamental functional importance: the anti-codon, which is responsible for specific mRNA codon recognition, and the 3' end, to which the tRNAs corresponding amino acid is attached (by aminoacyl-tRNA synthetases). tRNAs cope with the degeneracy of the genetic code in two manners: having more than one tRNA (with a specific anti-codon) for a particular amino acid; and 'wobble' base-pairing, i.e. permitting non-standard base-pairing at the 3rd anti-codon position. Lineage: Eukaryota; Metazoa; Chordata; Mammalia; Rodentia; Bathyergidae. The record is from Rfam by way of RNAcentral.
GAUGUAGCUCAGUGGUAGAGCAUGUGCUUAUAAUGUGUGAGGCUAUGGGUUCAAUUCCUACCAUC